CUUUGUAUUCUUCCACAGCUUUCUUGAACUGCAUCCAUGUCGAUUUUCUCCAAGAUCAGAUUUUCUUGGAUGUGAACGGCAAACUGUUUUGCGGUUCAAUAAAGCUGUGGGAAGAUACAGAAA
Molecule: microRNA precursor, 123 nt
Filed under: Ipomoea nil (Japanese morning glory)
Lineage: Eukaryota; Viridiplantae; Streptophyta; Magnoliopsida; Solanales; Convolvulaceae
Description: MIR396 microRNA precursor family
Rfam family: MIR396 microRNA precursor family
Source: Rfam by way of RNAcentral